AGUGAACGCUGGCGGUAGGCCUAACACAUGCAAGUCGAACGGCAGCACAGGAGAGCUUGCUCUCUGGGUGGCGAGUGGCGGACGGGUGAGGAAUACAUCGGAAUCUACUCUGUCGUGGGGGAUAACGUAGGGAAACUUACGCUAAUACCGCAUACGACCUACGGGUGAAAGCAGGGGACCUUCGGGCCUUGCGCGAUUGAAUGAGCCGAUGUCGGAUGAGCUAGUUGGCGGGGUAAAGGCACACCAAGGCGACGAUCCGUAGCUGGUCUGAGAGGAUGAUCAGCCACACUGGAACUGAGACACGGUCCAGACUCCUACGGGAGGCAGCAGUGGGGAAUAUUGGACAAUGGGCGCAAGCCUGAUCCAGCCAUACCGCGUGGGUGAAGAAGGCCUUCGGGUUGUAAAGCCCUUUUGUUGGGGAAGAAAUCCAGCUGGCUAAUACCCGGUUGGGAUGACGGUACCCAAAGAAUAAGCACCGGCUAACUUCGUGCCAGCCGCCGCUGUAA
This 506-nucleotide ribosomal RNA is filed under the name uncultured bacterium. RNAcentral's name for it is "partial 16S ribosomal RNA". It matches the Rfam family "Bacterial small subunit ribosomal RNA", at positions 29 to 523 of the family's 1533-position model. The record is from RNAcentral.